RNAcentral lists this ribosomal RNA (272 nucleotides) under uncultured bacterium. RNAcentral describes it as "partial 16S ribosomal RNA". It matches the Rfam family "Bacterial small subunit ribosomal RNA", at positions 91 to 354 of the family's 1533-position model. The record is from RNAcentral.
CGGACCGGCGCACGGGUGAGUAACACGUAUGGAACCUGCCCUAUGCGAGGGGGAUAAGCGGAAGAAAUUCCGUCUAAUACCGCAUAACACCUUUAGGAGACAUCUUCGUUGGGGUACAAAGGAGGCGACUCCGGCAUAGGAUGGCCAUGCGUCGCAUUAGCUAGGUCGGGCGGGGUAACGGCCCACCGAGGCGACGAUGCGUAGGGGUUCUGAGAGGAAGGUCCCCCACACUGGUACUGAGACACGGACCAGACUCCUACGGGAGGCAGCAG